Molecule: long non-coding RNA, 3799 nt
Filed under: Brassica napus (rape)
Lineage: Eukaryota; Viridiplantae; Streptophyta; Magnoliopsida; Brassicales; Brassicaceae
Description: long non-coding RNA (BNAP_LNC015838)
Source: RNAcentral
CAAGAGCAUACAAAAACAAACAAGGGGAGAGCUCAAAGCUUUUGGGUUCAAUGACCAUAAUCAUGUGUAAUCUUUGCUCUGUUCACCAACAUGUAUUGUAAAUUUGGAGAAGAAACAACUUCAGGUGAUUUUCACCCAUGGGUUUACUGGUUUAAAUAGAACGGAACAGAAUCCGUAACGCGUUAUUCUUUUUUUGUCCUGAGUUGUCUGUCCACACAUAUCUGAAAUCUUCCCGAGCAAUGUGACCUCUCCCUGCCAAACCGCUCCUAGAAAUUAGGCCCUGCCAAUUCAACAAGAACCAUGUAAAUGGACUGAUCUGAUUCAAUCUUUUGCGAUAUCUAAACACAAACAAUAAAGGUGCAGUGAAAAUCUAAAGUGAAACAAGGUUAUAAAUUAACAGAUACUUUGAAAAAAUGGUGAUGAACUGCACUAUAGACUAGAUUAUCACACAGCAACUCUAAUGGUUACUUUCUUAGAACUUCCAUUAAGAAAUGUAAUAUACCUGGACAUCUAUGGCCAUCAUAUGAAGAUUUAUAAAACAAUGACAUCUAAGGUUCUUGGGCAUAGUACUAAAGAAAUUAUAGAUCAUCAAAUAUUGUUUUCUUGGCAAGAUAAUACCACCUGAGAACUGUAGCGAACUGUGUAAGAUAGCAAUAGACCAAGUCUCACUAUUCACAUUGUGAACUAAUUUGCGGAAGCAGCAGUAAAGCCAAGCGAAGUACAACAAUUAAUAAACGCAGCCUUUGAAAGAACAUAACCAGAUUGCAAUAAACGAAACAUGGAUUUUGAUCAUACAUGGCAGGCAUACAAUGUCAAGAAAACUUGCAAAGAUUCUAACAUUAUAUGAAAAGAAUUAAUUGAUCAUAUAUAACACCGGUGUGUCCUGACCAUGACCAUAUUCGAGUCACAUAGGCAACAAAACACUUGGCAAGUCUGCAACUACAUUGAAGAAACAGCAUGUGCACUGUUGGAAAUGAUCAAACGCUCAGAAAGCUACAGGCUUUUGACCUUGAGUAAAUUUGAUUUCAAAACAGCAUUAAAGGCAGGUAGCUAACCAAGCAUGUAUCCGUUUUAUGACUAACUAAACAAUCAUCCCAAACAUAUGAGCCUUGUUCUAUCUCUCGCUAAACUCAUCCUCUAUACAUGACCCAAAACUUUAAUCAGACAUUCUACAGAAUCCAAGUAACAUUACAAAGUACGGUCAACAACAUUCAAUGGGGAGGUCAUAAAAAAACCAACCUUGAGGAACCAAUGUUGAUGUUCCUGUGAAGAACCCUACCACGAUCACCAUCUCCACCAUCAAUCAACUCUCUCAAACCACCCAAACUCUCCACCUCCUCCUCCUCCUCUUUCACCUCCUUCUUCUCCUUACCUCCACCGCGACUCGGCAGCAACUUCACAGGCAACCUCUCGAAGUAAUUCCCGUAGAUAUACUCAGGAGUGUACCCAUUCUCCUCAUCGAAAAGCAUGAUAUGCCCGUGCCACUCCCACACACGAUAAUCCGACUCCUCAUCCUCGUGAAACCCAACGCAGAUGUGGUGCUCGUUGACCGUCACGGCCUGCCCCGAAUUGGGCUUCAGGGAAUCGAUUCGACCCGAGACGAUGACGCGGAUUAGCUCAUUCUCGAGCUUGGCUUCUUCUCGUUCGAGAUUGUUUUGGGAAUCGAGGUCUUCUUCGUCAUCGGUGUCGUCGGAUUUGAAGAGGAGGUCGUCUAGGGAUUGGGAGAGGAAAGCGGAGCUUGGGGGACGGAUUUGGAGGCGGCCGAGUAGGGUUUGGAGUAGUAGGUUGUUGUUGUUGUUUCCGUUGAAGGAGCUCAUGGUUGGUGCGUGUGGUGGCGAAUCGAUCUUCUUCUUCUUCGACUACUUUUUCGUCGUGGUUAUCGUAGGGAGAGGCCACUCGGGUUUUAGAGAUAGGAAAGGGUUUUUGUUCAACGAAGACUGCAAUUACGAAAAAUAUCAGUUUUAGUCUUUUAUUAGAUAUAAACGCCGUCAGACAGUAAUUUCAGAAAAAAAAUGUAAGGCUAAAAUGAUAUAUGUUGUUGACUUGUAGGCCGAAAUUUAUUUUUUUUUUAAUUUUUCAAAAGAUUAAAUAACCUAUAAAAUUACAUUAAAAUGUUAAAUAAUUAGUUUAUAAUUUUUUAUAAAAUAAUAUUAAAAUUAAAAUAAAAUAAGUAAUAUAUUUUUAUUUGUAUUAAUCGAUACAAAAUACUAAAUAAUUAAAUAAUAAAACUGAUUCAUUUUAAUUUGAAAUUGAAAAUACAAUAUUAACUGCAAUAAAUUAUAAUUCCUCACCAGCAAAUGUGAAUUAGAGGAAACAAAUACUUUUUUAAGUGUUAUUUAUGAUGAAUUAUGAUAUCAGGGAUAGUGUAUACUGUAUUUGCAAACUUUGAAGCAUAUAGAAAUAGAGUAUUUUGGUUGAAUUGGAACUAUCUUAAUUUAGAACAGAAGAAACUUAUUAAUUUUGUCUCGCUAAUUAGUUUAUUCGAUAAUUAGUUCACUAAGUUUCUAUGUAGAAAUUGGAGUAUUAUGUUAGUAAGAAGCAUAUUGAAGUAAAGUAUUUUUUUUGUCAUUUACGUAAAAUUCAGAAUCAUAUAGAAGCCAAAAAACAAUAAUCUACUAUGGAUUUAAGAAACGAAACACUUUCAACAAUUUAUCAAUAUGGGAAAAAUUACUCAAGAAUAAAAAUGAAGAACAAACAAAAUGGGUACAAUACCAACUUUCUUAGUUUCUUUGACAAUUUUUUCGGCAUCAUCUACCGGAUUCAACAAAAGGACAUACACAAAUACAUUCUUUUGAGAACCCUUAACAUAUAUAUAUAUGUAAGUAUUUAUACUUUUGUAUAUCACAUCUUUGAUGAAACUGUUCAUGAUCCCCAUCGCUUUACCCGAGAUUCCGAUAUCGGGAUGAACCUGCUUCAGGACCUUGAAGAUGUAGAUCUUGUACGUCUCCACGCUCUUCUUCGAUUUCUUCUUCUUCUUGUCGCUUCCUCCUUCCUUCGAGAUCUUCUUCUCCGCCUUUGGACGCUUCUCCGCCGGUGAUUUCUCGGCUGGCUUCUUCUCCGCCGGUUUCUUCUCUGCCGCCUUGGGUGCCAUUAUCGAUUGAUUGAGUUUGGUGAAGAGAGGGUAAAUUGUUUAAUGGAAAGAUGCGUCUGUGAUUGAAAUUAUUCGAGGAGCAGAUUUUCUUAUAUAGAAGCGUGUGCUCGCUCUUAUUGGUUAUCUGUGCGGCACGCGGAUUGCUGACGUGGCCUAGAUCUGAAGACUUUGAAUGAACGGACAAGAUCUCUCAUAGCUCUAUACUUCUUUCUUUAGUCAAGCUCAUGGGCUCUUCUAACAUCUUGAUGGGCUUCUGUUUUAUGACGACCCACGAACUUGCCCGGUCCAUUACUAAUGUGGUAACAUCUUCGAAUUAUACGUUUCGACACUAAUUACAUUUUAUUUGAGUGUCUUACCAUCUUCUCAUAUACCUUGUCAGAUUCGCAUUAUCGUCCUUGUAGCGGAAACUGAAAUUACAGUUCAGCGGCAGCAGUAUUGGAAAAUGAGUGAUUCAUCAAGACAAGAGCAUACAAAAACAAACAAGGGGAGAGCUCAAAGCUUUUGGGUUCAAUGACCAUAAUCAUGUGUAAUCUUUGCUCUGUUCACCAACAUGUAUUGUAAAUUUGGAGAAGAAACAACUUCAGGUGAUUUUCACCCAUGGGUUUACUGGUUUAAAUAGAACGGAACAGAAUCCGUAACGCGUUAUUCUUUUUUUGUCCUGAGUUGUCUGUCCACACAUAUCUGAAAUCUUCCCGAGCAAUGUGACCU